GAUGAAGAACGCAGUGAAAUGCGAUAAGUAAUGUGAAUUGCAGAAUUCAGUGAAUCAUCGAAUCUUUGAACGCACAUUGCGCCCGCCAGCACUCUGGCGGGCAUGCCUGUCCGAGCGUCAUUUCAACCCUCAGGGCCCCUUCGGGGGACCUGGCGUUGGGGAUCGGCCCGCCCCCGUGCGGCGCCGUCCCCGAAAUAUAGUGGCGGUCUCGCUGCAGCCUCCCCUGCGUAGUAGCACACCUCGCACUGGAGAGCGGCGCGGCCACGCCGUGAAACCCCCAACUUCUGAAUGUUGACCUCGGAUCAGGUAGGAAUACCCGCUGAACUUAAGCAUAUCAAUAAGCGGAGGA
RNAcentral lists this unclassified non-coding RNA (349 nucleotides) under soil metagenome. RNAcentral's name for it is "partial contains 5.8S ribosomal RNA, internal transcribed spacer 2, and large subunit ribosomal RNA". The stretch from base 1 to 120 matches the Rfam family "5.8S ribosomal RNA", at positions 35 to 154 of the family's 154-position model. The record is from RNAcentral.